RNAcentral lists this unclassified non-coding RNA (645 nucleotides) under Hevea brasiliensis (rubber tree). Lineage: Eukaryota; Viridiplantae; Streptophyta; Magnoliopsida; Malpighiales; Euphorbiaceae. The record is from RNAcentral.
UAGCCAAACAAUCGGAGGGAAUUCAUAGCCUUCGGGGUGUUAAUGGUGGGAGUGAAAUGGAAUUUGUGUCUUCUUGUGAGGAUACUAAUCAUAAAUAUAAUCAACCUCUUAGAGAUUUCGCUCAUGAAACAAACGCUUCGAUGCCACAAGGGGACCUGUAUCAGGGAAACAUGCUGGGUUACAGAAUAGGGAAUGCUUAUUUGCAUGGAAGUGAGAGUUGUGAUAGAUUGGUUCAAUGUCUAGGCCAUCGCUUGCAUCCGUUGAACCCGAAGGAUGGAAAUUUGCAUGGGGAAACGAAUAGUUCCACGCAUUGUUUGUCAGGGCAAAAAUUUCAGGUUUUUGGUGAUGGAUUGGGGAUUUGUGCUGAGAAUUCGAAUCAUUUGCAUAAUUCGAUGGUAAAAAAUAUUUGUGAUCUUCACGAUGCCAAGCGGGAUUCAGGAAUCUUUGGGCAGGGGACACUGAGUCACUUGAAUAGGGAAAAUAUCAUGCCAUGGACUACGGUUUGUGCUUUACGCAACAGUCAUUGGGCUGGAAGCACCUAUCCUGCCAAAUCUCCCUUCUCCAGCGGUGGUUAUAAGAAUGGAAUCCGAAACCAUAGGUUUAUUAUUGCCAAUGAAUCUGGAAAUCAGCGGGUUUAUCCAUACC